RNAcentral lists this ribosomal RNA (250 nucleotides) under uncultured prokaryote. Its description in RNAcentral is "partial 16S ribosomal RNA". It matches the Rfam family "Bacterial small subunit ribosomal RNA", at positions 524 to 773 of the family's 1533-position model. The record is from RNAcentral.
UACGUAUGGAGCAAGCGUUAUCCGGAUUUACUGGGUGUAAAGGGAGCGUAGACGGCAUGGCAAGUCUGAUGUGAAAGGUGCGGGCUCAACCCGCAAACCGCAUUGGAAACUGUCACGCUUGAGUGUCGGAGGGGUAAGUGGAAUUCCUAGUGUAGCGGUGAAAUGCGUAGAUAUUAGGAGGAACACCGGCGGCGAAGGCGGCUUACUGGACGACGACUGACGUUGAGGCUCGAAAGCGUGGGUAGCAAAC